UACGGAGGGUGCAAGCGUUAUCCGGAUUCACUGGGUUUAAAGGGAGCGUAGGAGGGCAGGUAAGUCAGUGGUGAAAUCUUCGAGCUUAACUCGGAAACUGCCGUUGAUACUAUCUGUCUUGAAUACCGUGGAGGUGAGCGGAAUAUGUCAUGUAGCGGUGAAAUGCUUAGAUAUGACAUAGAACACCAAUUGCGAAGGCAGCUCGCUACACGAAUAUUGACUCUGAGGCACGAAAGCGUGGGGAUCAAACAGG
Molecule: ribosomal RNA, 253 nt
Filed under: uncultured bacterium
Lineage: Bacteria
Description: partial 16S ribosomal RNA
Rfam family: Bacterial small subunit ribosomal RNA
Source: RNAcentral